RNAcentral lists this ribosomal RNA (305 nucleotides) under uncultured bacterium. RNAcentral describes it as "partial 16S ribosomal RNA". It matches the Rfam family "Bacterial small subunit ribosomal RNA", at positions 508 to 807 of the family's 1533-position model. The record is from RNAcentral.
ACAGCAGUCGCCGCGGUAAUACGUAGGGUGCAAGCGUUAAUCGGAAUUACUGGGCGUAAAGCGUGCGCAGGCGGUUAUAUAAGACAGAUGUGAAAUCCCCGGGCUCAACCUGGGAACUGCAUUUGUGACUGUAUAGCUAGAGUACGGCAGAGGGGGAUGGAAUUCCGCGUGUAGCAGUGAAAUGCGUAGAUAUGCGGAGGAACACCGAUGGCGAAGGCAAUCCCCUGGGCCUGUACUGACGCUCAUGCACGAAAGCGUGGGGAGCAAACAGGAUUAGAUACCCGUGUAGUCCCUGUCUCUUAUAC